Molecule: ribosomal RNA, 434 nt
Filed under: uncultured bacterium
Lineage: Bacteria
Description: partial 16S ribosomal RNA
Rfam family: Bacterial small subunit ribosomal RNA
Source: RNAcentral
AGCGAACGCUGGCGGCAGGCCUAACACAUGCAAGUCGAACGAACCUUCCGGGGUCAGUGGCGGACGGGGGAGGAACACGUGGGAACGUGCCUUUAGGUUCGGAAUAACUCAGGGAAACGUGUGCUAAUACCGAAUGUGCCCUUCGGGGGAAAGAUUUAUCGCCUUUAGAGCGGCCCGCGUCUGAUUAGCUAGUUGGUUGAGGUAAUGGCUCACCAAGGCGACGAUCAGUAGCUGGUCUGAGAGGAUGAUCAGCCACAUUGGGACUGAGACACGGCCCAAACUCCUACGGAAGGCAGCAGUGGGGAAUCUUGCGAAAUGGGCGAAAGCCUGACGCAGCCAUGCCGCGUGAAUGAUGAAGGUCUUAGGAUUGUAAAAUUCUUUCACCGGGGACGAUAAUGACGGUACCCGGAGAAGAAGCCCCGGCUAACUUCGUG